Molecule: ribosomal RNA, 2904 nt
Filed under: Escherichia coli
Lineage: Bacteria; Pseudomonadati; Pseudomonadota; Gammaproteobacteria; Enterobacterales; Enterobacteriaceae
Description: 23S ribosomal RNA
Rfam family: Bacterial large subunit ribosomal RNA
Source: RNAcentral
GGUUAAGCGACUAAGCGUACACGGUGGAUGCCCUGGCAGUCAGAGGCGAUGAAGGACGUGCUAAUCUGCGAUAAGCGUCGGUAAGGUGAUAUGAACCGUUAUAACCGGCGAUUUCCGAAUGGGGAAACCCAGUGUGUUUCGACACACUAUCAUUAACUGAAUCCAUAGGUUAAUGAGGCGAACCGGGGGAACUGAAACAUCUAAGUACCCCGAGGAAAAGAAAUCAACCGAGAUUCCCCCAGUAGCGGCGAGCGAACGGGGAGGAGCCCAGAGCCUGAAUCAGUGUGUGUGUUAGUGGAAGCGUCUGGAAAGGCGCGCGAUACAGGGUGACAGCCCCGUACACAAAAAUGCACAUGCUGUGAGCUCGAUGAGUAGGGCGGGACACGUGGUAUCCUGUCUGAAUAUGGGGGGACCAUCCUCCAAGGCUAAAUACUCCUGACUGACCGAUAGUGAACCAGUACCGUGAGGGAAAGGCGAAAAGAACCCCGGCGAGGGGAGUGAAAAAGAACCUGAAACCGUGUACGUACAAGCAGUGGGAGCACGCUUAGGCGUGUGACUGCGUACCUUUUGUAUAAUGGGUCAGCGACUUAUAUUCUGUAGCAAGGUUAACCGAAUAGGGGAGCCGAAGGGAAACCGAGUCUUAACUGGGCGUUAAGUUGCAGGGUAUAGACCCGAAACCCGGUGAUCUAGCCAUGGGCAGGUUGAAGGUUGGGUAACACUAACUGGAGGACCGAACCGACUAAUGUUGAAAAAUUAGCGGAUGACUUGUGGCUGGGGGUGAAAGGCCAAUCAAACCGGGAGAUAGCUGGUUCUCCCCGAAAGCUAUUUAGGUAGCGCCUCGUGAACUCAUCUCCGGGGGUAGAGCACUGUUUCGGCAAGGGGGUCAUCCCGACUUACCAACCCGAUGCAAACUGCGAAUACCGGAGAAUGUUAUCACGGGAGACACACGGCGGGUGCUAACGUCCGUCGUGAAGAGGGAAACAACCCAGACCGCCAGCUAAGGUCCCAAAGUCAUGGUUAAGUGGGAAACGAUGUGGGAAGGCCCAGACAGCCAGGAUGUUGGCUUAGAAGCAGCCAUCAUUUAAAGAAAGCGUAAUAGCUCACUGGUCGAGUCGGCCUGCGCGGAAGAUGUAACGGGGCUAAACCAUGCACCGAAGCUGCGGCAGCGACGCUUAUGCGUUGUUGGGUAGGGGAGCGUUCUGUAAGCCUGUGAAGGUGUGCUGUGAGGCAUGCUGGAGGUAUCAGAAGUGCGAAUGCUGACAUAAGUAACGAUAAAGCGGGUGAAAAGCCCGCUCGCCGGAAGACCAAGGGUUCCUGUCCAACGUUAAUCGGGGCAGGGUGAGUCGACCCCUAAGGCGAGGCCGAAAGGCGUAGUCGAUGGGAAACAGGUUAAUAUUCCUGUACUUGGUGUUACUGCGAAGGGGGGACGGAGAAGGCUAUGUUGGCCGGGCGACGGUUGUCCCGGUUUAAGCGUGUAGGCUGGUUUUCCAGGCAAAUCCGGAAAAUCAAGGCUGAGGCGUGAUGACGAGGCACUACGGUGCUGAAGCAACAAAUGCCCUGCUUCCAGGAAAAGCCUCUAAGCAUCAGGUAACAUCAAAUCGUACCCCAAACCGACACAGGUGGUCAGGUAGAGAAUACCAAGGCGCUUGAGAGAACUCGGGUGAAGGAACUAGGCAAAAUGGUGCCGUAACUUCGGGAGAAGGCACGCUGAUAUGUAGGUGAAGCGACUUGCUCGUGGAGCUGAAAUCAGUCGAAGAUACCAGCUGGCUGCAACUGUUUAUUAAAAACACAGCACUGUGCAAACACGAAAGUGGACGUAUACGGUGUGACGCCUGCCCGGUGCCGGAAGGUUAAUUGAUGGGGUCAGCGCAAGCGAAGCUCUUGAUCGAAGCCCCGGUAAACGGCGGCCGUAACUAUAACGGUCCUAAGGUAGCGAAAUUCCUUGUCGGGUAAGUUCCGACCUGCACGAAUGGCGUAAUGAUGGCCAGGCUGUCUCCACCCGAGACUCAGUGAAAUUGAACUCGCUGUGAAGAUGCAGUGUACCCGCGGCAAGACGGAAAGACCCCGUGAACCUUUACUAUAGCUUGACACUGAACAUUGAGCCUUGAUGUGUAGGAUAGGUGGGAGGCUUUGAAGUGUGGACGCCAGUCUGCAUGGAGCCGACCUUGAAAUACCACCCUUUAAUGUUUGAUGUUCUAACGUUGACCCGUAAUCCGGGUUGCGGACAGUGUCUGGUGGGUAGUUUGACUGGGGCGGUCUCCUCCUAAAGAGUAACGGAGGAGCACGAAGGUUGGCUAAUCCUGGUCGGACAUCAGGAGGUUAGUGCAAUGGCAUAAGCCAGCUUGACUGCGAGCGUGACGGCGCGAGCAGGUGCGAAAGCAGGUCAUAGUGAUCCGGUGGUUCUGAAUGGAAGGGCCAUCGCUCAACGGAUAAAAGGUACUCCGGGGAUAACAGGCUGAUACCGCCCAAGAGUUCAUAUCGACGGCGGUGUUUGGCACCUCGAUGUCGGCUCAUCACAUCCUGGGGCUGAAGUAGGUCCCAAGGGUAUGGCUGUUCGCCAUUUAAAGUGGUACGCGAGCUGGGUUUAGAACGUCGUGAGACAGUUCGGUCCCUAUCUGCCGUGGGCGCUGGAGAACUGAGGGGGGCUGCUCCUAGUACGAGAGGACCGGAGUGGACGCAUCACUGGUGUUCGGGUUGUCAUGCCAAUGGCACUGCCCGGUAGCUAAAUGCGGAAGAGAUAAGUGCUGAAAGCAUCUAAGCACGAAACUUGCCCCGAGAUGAGUUCUCCCUGACUCCUUGAGAGUCCUGAAGGAACGUUGAAGACGACGACGUUGAUAGGCCGGGUGUGUAAGCGCAGCGAUGCGUUGAGCUAACCGGUACUAAUGAACCGUGAGGCUUAACCUU